Molecule: ribosomal RNA, 41 nt
Filed under: uncultured Clitocybe
Lineage: Eukaryota; Fungi; Basidiomycota; Agaricomycetes; Agaricales; Tricholomataceae
Description: partial 18S ribosomal RNA
Source: RNAcentral
UCCCGUUCGGUUUUCGUAGGUGACCUGCGGCAGGAUCAUUA